AUUACAAAUCCUGUUCAAACUUCGCGCUUUUCAAAGGCGAAUAUCCGUGAUUGACCGAGGCAAAUGCCAUAUUGUGUGCUGUUGCGAUUAGUGACUCUCAGACACACUCAUGGGGGUGCCGUUGUUUGCUCAAAGGAUAUUGAAAUGUUAUUUUAUUCACUAAGCAUUAGAUCGACUAUUACAACCGUUAUGAGAACUUACCGCCUUGAAUGUUGAGUCACUCAUUCUCAAAUUGCUAUUGUAAAUACAUACAGAUGCAUGCUUACAAAUAUGCUGUUGGACGCAACGUUACGGUGAAUGGCGAUCGCUAUCGUUCGAUGCUAACAAACUUUUUGUUGCCAAAAAUGGAAGAACUGAACUUGGUUGACAUGUGGUUUCAACAAGAUGGCGCUACAUGCCACACAGCUCGCGAUUCUAUGGCCA
Bactrocera dorsalis (oriental fruit fly) is the source of this 423-nucleotide long non-coding RNA. RefSeq lists it as uncharacterized. Lineage: Eukaryota; Metazoa; Arthropoda; Insecta; Diptera; Tephritidae. The record is from RefSeq and is a predicted model, not a curated record. The transcript is spliced from 2 exons.